CAUGAUGCACAUACACAUGUAUAUACUGAUGACGGUCAGAGCAGAUAGUAAACAGUUCUCGUGAGCAAUACCUUGUGUUAUUAUUCUGAUUUUUAAUUAAAAAAUAAUGCCAAUUAAUGGACUCCACCGUCGAGAUUCCUCGGGGGAUUCCGGCUCUGAAUCAGAAAGUGGUUCCGCCUCGUCAACAUCUUCUCGCAGUGGUUCCCCAGCAUCUCAUGCCCCAGUUCCUACCCCAGGGAACCCCAGAAACGAUCGCUCAGACGGUGAAGAUGGCCCACAGUCCCCUGGGUCCCAACGAGUGAGUAGAAGUCGUUCCAGAAGUACUCACAGAUCAGCCCCAAGUGCUGGAGGUUCCCCAGCUCGAUCAGGCUCCCGACACUCAAGCCCUGGCUCCCCCAAGAGCAACCAAUCAGGUUCACGAAGAUCAAGAUCUCGAAGUGCCUCAGGCUCUCGCCGAUCAGCAUCCCCAGCUGGUAGUGCAAGAUCCGAGAGCCCUAAAUCCCCUGGAAGCCAGCGAUCGAAUCAUUCAAAUCGUUCUAGAUCUAGAUCCGGCAGUCGUAAGUCAAACGCAUCGGGCUCUCCAAGGAGCAGACGAUCAGGUAGCCAGAGAUCUAAUGCAUCAGGAUCCCCAAGAAGCAGAAGAUCGGCAAGUCCUUCAUCCGUAAAAAGUAAACGUUCAGGGAGUCAUGUGUCGCGAACUAGCAGACGAUCGGAAUCUCCAGGAUCUCCCAAGACCGGACGCUCACGUAGCGGAAGCCCUGAGAGUGGAAGAUCACGUAGUGGUUCUCCAAAAAGUGGAAGAUCCAAAUCAAGAUCUAAAUCAAAGUCUAAAUCCAGAUCUAAAUCAAGAUCCAAAUCCGUAUCUAAAUCUAGAUCUAGAUCUAGAUCAAAAUCCCCAUCAAAAUCACGAUCUGCAAGUCCAAGAAGUGGGAACCGAUCGCCUGAGAGUGGAAGAGCAACAAGUCCCAAGAGCAAAGGUGGAAGUGAUAAUGAGAGUGAUGUUGAGCAGGGGAAGAGAAAACGAGAGGGCAGUGGAUCGGGUUCUGACACUGAAAAGGUAACUCCGAAGAAGCAGAGACCACUUAUUGAUUCAGAUUCGGAUGAGGAGGAGCAGCCGAAAGACCCCGAGCCAACAGCUGAUGCGUUAUUCGGUGAUGCCAGUGACAUCAGCACUGAUGAUGAGAAAGAGAAGGAGGACGAGCGAGAGGAAGAGAGUGAGAAGAGGAAGAGCAGGAGCAGGAGUCGAAGUAGGAGCAAGAGCAGAAGUAAGAGUAGAAGUAGGUCCAGGAGCCGAAGUCGCAGUCGUGGGCGUUCUGAAAGUGGUGGAGAGGGUCCAACUCAGGGGGACAAUGAGGAAAAAGAGAAGGAGGAUGAGCCUGAACCCCCUCCAGAGACCAGGAUUGACGUGGAGAUUCCGAAGAUAACAACUGAUCUUGGGAGGGAAAUUCAUUUUGUUAAACUACCUAACUUCUUGUCCGUGGAGACGAGACCUUUCGACCAUGAGACGUAUGAGGAUGAGAUUGAUGAGGAGGAGACGUUGGACGAGGAGGGAAGGGCCAGGUUAAAGCUCAAGGUCGAAAAUACCAUCAGGUGGAAGGACGUCUUCGGAGAUGAUGGAAAAAUGAGGAAGGAGAGUAAUGCGAGGUUCGUCAGGUGGUCUGAUGGGAGCAUGUCCCUUCAUCUGGGCUCUGAGAUAUUUGAUGUUUACAAGCAGCCACUCCAGGGGGAUCACAACCACCUUUAUAUUAGACAAGGGACUGGACUCCAGGGCCAGGCAGUAUUCAGGACAAAAUUGACAUUCAGACCGCAUUCCACUGAGUCGUUCACUCACAGGAAGAUGACGAUGUCACUCGCCGAUAGGUCUCAGAAGACGUCGGGCAUCAAGGUUCUAUCGCAAGUAGGAAUGAACCCUGAUCAGAAUCGAUACGAAAUGAUUAAGAAGGAGGAGGAGAAGCUUAGAGUCGCCAUGAGAGCCCAGAGCAAGACCAAGAAGUCCAGUGGAAGUGGACGAAACUCGACGAGGGCUUCUGGAAGUUAUGGGGCUGACGCUUAUCACGAUGAUGGAUCAGAUGACGAGGGGGCUAUUUCACUUGCUGCUAUCAAGAGCAAAUACAAAAAAGGAGCCCCAUCUAAAGAAAAAGAAAAGAUUUACUCUUCCGAUGAGGAAGACUCUGACUUUGAAACAACGAGACCUAAGAAAAACUUCAAAGGGAAAGUAUUAAAGGACUCAGACGAGGAGUCAAAUGCCGCAUCUGACAGUGCCUCAGGGAGUGGUGGCGAGGAUGCUGCUGCUGGAGGGAGUGAUUAAUUCCUUAUCUUCGAGAGCCGACAAAGUUCCCGACCCUGACCCCCCUGGCACACGUUUCGAUUCGAUCUUGUGAACCAAGGAACAACAGCCACGAGAAUUAAUCCCGCAAGAGGUGCACAGCCCACGAUCAGCAAACGGUACAACUGAGAGAGAAAAUUCACAACGAAUAUCGUGGCUGAAGAACUUACGAAGCCAGGUCUCAGAUGAAAGAUUCGUGCGGUCAGAGAGUCUACAUGUUACCAGGGGUUCAAUAAAAUAAGUGAAAAAAAAAGGGGGAGAUUCGAGAGGGGAAAAAAAGAAUUCAAGUCAAGUCAUCGAACAGCAGGCCAGCGUCUUUGGAAUUAUGAACGAGAGGCUCUGUGUACAAGUGGACUAUAUUGACGUGUAAAUAGAAUGAUGACAUGUUAACAUUAAACGAGUGAUAACUAUUCCCACUGAGAAUUGCAACAGCAGACCCGAGAAUCCGUGAGGAUGAAGCGAUUCGCACUUUAGACGAGAUUGACCUCGUAUGACCUCGUUUGAGACGAAUGGUAUAAGUGUAACUCGCUCUGCGGAUGGUGACCAACAACGAGGAUGUCACGGGUCAAUCGAAACGACGCCGGCAGCCCAAUGAGUACCCAUGACAGCGCUGGAAUGCGCUCCACUUUAAUUUUUAUACCCUUCUGGUCUCCCUCUCAAUUUCCCUGUAAUCGGGUUCUCUCAUCUCUGUGUUAAGGACGAGUUUAUGUAUGUAAACAGGGGUUAAAGAGCUGAAAGAUGAGGAAUACGAGAGGGCAUUCAUGAGGGCUCUCUGGCUCACCUUAAUAUUCAGUCACGAAAAAAUAAUUUUCAAGGAUUUUGCAAUUUUUUAGCUGAUGGACAAGAAGAAUAGUCCCAAUUCCAUGACUAUGGUUUUGGAUAAAUGACGUAUUAUGUACUAAACGACUGACAUUCAUACUGAGAAAUGAUCAAUAUAAAAACAAUUUUAAAGGGUAUAUGUCUCACCUCAAAAGUCAUUCAUGACGAAGUGUUUCCUCGAUGUGUGUCAUUUUUUGAACUGUAGGACCUCUAAAAU
This is an RNA transcript of Diachasmimorpha longicaudata, 3362 nucleotides long. It is a transcript of the gene named another transcription unit protein, with no coding region annotated. The record is from RefSeq and is a predicted model, not a curated record. Lineage: Eukaryota; Metazoa; Arthropoda; Insecta; Hymenoptera; Braconidae. The transcript is spliced from 6 exons.